AUCAAUAAGCGGAGGAAAAGCAACCAACCGGGAUUCCCCCAGUAACGGCGAGCGAAGCGGGAGCAGCUCGAGCAGGCAAUCUCUGGCGUCGAUCGCCAGCGAAUUGUGGCCGGCAGAGGCGGGUGCACCUGACGCGGUUCCGUCGAAGUUGACCUGGAAGGGCACGUCGGAGAGGGUGAUAGCCCCGUGCGCGGCGGAGUCGUCGACGGUCGCUACCGUCUUCGGAGAGUCGGGUUGUUUGGGAGUGCAGCCCAAAGUGGGUGGUAAACUCCAUCUAAAGCCAAAUAGCGGCACGAGACCGAUAGCGAACAAGUACCGUGAGGGAAAGGUGAAAAGCACUUUGGAAAGAGAGUUAAAGAGGCCGCGAAACCGUUGGGAGGGAAACGAAUGCAGCCGGACAGGCCGGCGCCGAGUUCAGGUGGACGCGUGGAGUCCGGCGCUCGGUGGUCACCCUCGCGGGUCCGCCUCGCGUCGCGGCUGCUCGCUCCUCCGCACUCUCGGCGACCGCGGUCGGCCAGGUGCGGCGGGCGACGGUCGAGGAGAGCGUGUCGGGUAGGUGGCGCAGCCGUCUCCUCCGGGAGGCGGAGGCGAACUUAGAGCCGGCCGUUCGGAUUGUCCGACGCCCGCCGAGGAGAGCGGUGGCACUUGCACCCCAGCAGCGCAGGCCUUCCCUCGGGUCGGCCGGGGCGCUCUCGUCCGUCCGACGUCCGCGUCGAGGUCCCUGCACGCAGUGCCCGGCGUCGGUCGGCGACCGGGCGGGAGACCGUCCACGCCUUGCGCUUCGGUCGCCUGGCAAGCCGUCNGCUGC
Molecule: ribosomal RNA, 808 nt
Filed under: Penares helleri
Lineage: Eukaryota; Metazoa; Porifera; Demospongiae; Tetractinellida; Geodiidae
Description: eukaryotic LSU rRNA
Rfam family: Eukaryotic large subunit ribosomal RNA (bases 1-323)
Source: RNAcentral